Molecule: long non-coding RNA, 253 nt
Filed under: Gossypium barbadense (sea-island cotton)
Lineage: Eukaryota; Viridiplantae; Streptophyta; Magnoliopsida; Malvales; Malvaceae
Description: long non-coding RNA (GBAR_LNC006224)
Source: RNAcentral
UGAACCCUAGGAAUGUUAGGAUAUUAGGGUUGACAGGACAGAAUAGAAAUGAGCCAUGUAAGUCCAUAUUAGAAAUAUGGCUUUGGAGACAGGAUUGAGCCAUGUAAGUCCAUAUUAUAUAUGGCAUUGGAGACAAGAAUAAUUCAUGUAAGUCCAUGUCAAAGACAUGGCAUUGGCAGGAUAUUGAUAGACAGGAACGACCCUAGUAUCCUUAGUAUUCCGAGUGGUUCAACGGGUCAGGAUACGAGUUAAA